GAUGAACGCUGGCGGCGUGCUUAACACAUGCAAGUCGAACGAGAAGUGAAGACGGAAACCUUCGGGCGGAAGGCUUUAUUUCGAGUGGCGGACGGGUGAGUAACGCGUGGGUAACCUGCCUCAUACAGGGGGAUAACAGUUGGAAACGACUGUUAAUACCGCAUAAGACCACCGCACCGCAUGGUGCGGGGGUAAAAACUCCGGUGGUAUGAGAUGGACCCGCGUUCGAUUAGCCAGUUGGCGGGGUAACGGCCCACCAAAGCGACGAUCGAUAGCCGAUCUGAGAGGAUGACCGGCCACAUUGGGACUGAGACACGGCCCAAACUCCUACGGGAGGCAGCAGUGGGGAAUAUUGCACAAUGGGGGAAACCCUGAUGCAGCGACGCCGCGUGAGUGAAGAAGUAUUUCGGUAUGUAAAGCUCUAUCAGCAGGGAAGAAAAUGACGGUACCUGAGUAAGAAGCCCCGGCUAACUACGUG
This 478-nucleotide ribosomal RNA is filed under the name uncultured bacterium. RNAcentral's name for it is "partial 16S ribosomal RNA". It matches the Rfam family "Bacterial small subunit ribosomal RNA", at positions 28 to 507 of the family's 1533-position model. The record is from RNAcentral.